AUGAGGAUCUGCCAAUCACUAGAGUACUGCCACGCCCCUCUGCCCUCCCUCUCUGCCCUCCAGAACAAAAUUGAUAAGAUACAGGUCUUAAUAGCAGAGACAAAGGAAAUUGACAGCCAGUGGGGGGAUCUUACCAAGAUAACAACAAUUCUUAUUGGUGGAAUUAGCCCAGACUCUGCCCAGGUGUUAUGGGAGCACCUAGAAAAAGAAAAAGCAAGGUGGCUAGAGGUGAAGGAGAAGGUCACAUACACCUUGCAGAGGUCACACAGUCUUCUGAAAGUGUGGCAGAGAUACUCUGAUGUGAGACGCUCCUGCUCAGAGCAGCUCCAACAUCUCAAAGAGCAGCUCAACACACACACCAAAACACCCGCUGACAAUAAACAACUCACACACAGCAUCGCAGAGCUGAAGACUGUGAGUACAAUGCAAAGACACAGAUAUUCACAUAUAAGCAUCCAUUUAAACACACACACACUUAAGUAG
Cyprinus carpio (common carp) is the source of this 483-nucleotide long non-coding RNA. Lineage: Eukaryota; Metazoa; Chordata; Actinopteri; Cypriniformes; Cyprinidae. The record is from Ensembl.